GCCGACCGGGUGUCCGCGCUAAGUUCGGUAUCAAUAUGGUGACCUCUUGGGAGCAGGGGGCCAUCAGGUUGCCUAAGAAUGGGAGAGCUGGCCCAGGUCAGAAAGGGAGCAGGUCAGAACUCCCGCACUGAUGGCUAGUGGGACUGUGCCUGUGC
Macaca fascicularis (crab-eating macaque) is the source of this 155-nucleotide unclassified non-coding RNA. It matches the Rfam family "Metazoan signal recognition particle RNA". Rfam says of the family: The signal recognition particle (SRP) is a universally conserved ribonucleoprotein. It is involved in the co-translational targeting of proteins to membranes. The eukaryotic SRP consists of a 300-nucleotide 7S RNA and six proteins: SRPs 72, 68, 54, 19, 14, and 9. NCBI's taxonomy places the organism in Eukaryota, Metazoa, Chordata, Mammalia, Primates, Cercopithecidae. The record is from Ensembl.